Long non-coding RNA from Balaenoptera acutorostrata (minke whale), 939 nucleotides. RefSeq lists it as uncharacterized. Lineage: Eukaryota; Metazoa; Chordata; Mammalia; Artiodactyla; Balaenopteridae. The transcript has 4 exons. The record is from RefSeq and is a predicted model, not a curated record.
GACAAAUUUUGGCUUUUGAUGGUCACAAUAGGCUCUUGUGCCAUCUGUUUCCUUUUAGCCCUUUCACUGGCUAACUUCGACUCAUCCUUUGUCAUUUGGCUGAGGUCUGAUGUCUCCAGAGUUCCUUCUCUAGUUUCUGACUUUUUCUUCAAAAACAGUCACAUUCUGAGGCACUAGUGGAGAGGAUUCCCACAUACGGAUUUUGAGGAGGACCCAAUUCAGCUCACAUUGUAUACCCUACCUGAAGUCUUAACUAGUGGGAAGAAAACGAACCUAGGAUUAGUUUGGAGGUUAUUUCUUAAAGCCCAGCUGCAAAAUCACUGUGGUUUGGAGCCAGGCCAGAAGAUGCAGGAAUUGACAUACCCAGAGACCUGGGCAUCAAGACGAGUUCAAGAAGUAGAAGAUGGAAGAAAAAUGAGAUACUUCCUUGGAGGAUGGGUGCUUCGGACAUGUGGCAAUAAUGAAUUCUUUUUUUUUUUUUAAACAACAUCUUUAUUGGAGUAUAAUUGCUUCACAAUGGUGUGUUACUUUCUGCUUUAUAACAAAGUGAAUCAGCUAUACAUAUACAUAUAUCCCCAUAUCUCUUCCCUCUUGCAUCUCCCUCCCUCCCACCCUCCCUAUCCCACCCCUCUAGGUGGUCACAAAGCACCGAGCUGAUCUCCCUGUGCUAUGCGGCUGCUUCCCACUAGCUAUCUAUUUUACAUUUGGUAGUGUAUAUAAGUCCAUGCCACUCUCUCACUUCGUCCCAGCUUAUCCUUCCCUCUCCCCGUGUCCUAAAGUCCAUUCUCUACGUCUGUGUCUUUAUUCCUGUCCUGCCCCUAGGUUCUUCAUGAUGAUGAUGAUGAUGAAUUCUUAUAAUAAAACUUGAAAUGGGAGAAGAAUCUGAUUUCAGUGUAGAAUAAUCAGAGAAUUUCCCUCUCUUUCAAAAAAUAAAAUGGU